CCUGCCAUGGCCACCUGGCUCCUCUGCUGUGUGAGCCUUGGCCUCAUGUUAGUAGAGCACGCAGAUGCUGGAGUCGCCCAGACACCCAGACACAAGGUGACAAAGAUGGGACAAGCAGUAAGACUGAACUGUGAGCCAAUUUCAGGCCACUAUGACCUUUACUGGUACAGACAGACUUCACUGCAGGAACUGAAGUUCCUGAUUUAUUUCAAUAAUGGAGCUCCAAUAGACAACAGCGGGAUGCCCAAGGACCGAUUCUCAGCUAAGAUGCCUAAUGGAUCAUUCUCCACUCUGAAUAUCCAGCCCACAGAACCCGGGGACUCAGCCGUGUACCUCUGUGCCAGCAGCUUAGCCACAACGCUGUAG
Non-coding RNA from Myotis brandtii (Brandt's bat), 366 nucleotides. Lineage: Eukaryota; Metazoa; Chordata; Mammalia; Chiroptera; Vespertilionidae. The record is from the annotation of a RefSeq genome assembly.